GGCAGUUCAGCUGCGCAUACAUUAAAUUUGGAAUGAUCUAGAGAAGAUUUACAUGGACCCUGCACAAGGAUGACCCACAAAUUUGUAAAGCAUUCCAUAUUUAG
Small nuclear RNA from Stegostoma tigrinum, 104 nucleotides. The record is from RefSeq and is a predicted model, not a curated record. NCBI's taxonomy places the organism in Eukaryota, Metazoa, Chordata, Chondrichthyes, Orectolobiformes, Stegostomatidae.